Molecule: non-coding RNA, 21 nt
Organism: Caenorhabditis elegans
Lineage: Eukaryota; Metazoa; Nematoda; Chromadorea; Rhabditida; Rhabditidae
Source: Ensembl
UUAUUUAGAGAGAUCUCGUUG